Molecule: ribosomal RNA, 889 nt
Filed under: Paramoeba aestuarina
Lineage: Eukaryota; Discosea; Flabellinia; Dactylopodida; Paramoebidae
Description: partial Bacterial small subunit ribosomal RNA
Rfam family: Bacterial small subunit ribosomal RNA
Source: RNAcentral
UUGAGAGUUUGAUCCUGGCUCAGAACGAACGCUGGCGGCAGGCCUAACACAUGCAAGUCGGACGAGAAGGUACCUUCGGGUACUGGAGAGUGGCGCACGGGUGAGUAACGCGUGGGGACCUACCUCUUAGUGGGGGAUAACGGUUGGAAACGACCGCUAAUACCGCAUACGCCCUUCGGGGGAAAGAUUUAUCGCUAAGAGAUGGACCCGCGUUGGAUUAGAUAGUUGGUGAGGUAACGGCUCACCAAGUCAGCGAUCCAUAGCUGGUUUGAGAGGAUGAUCAGCCACACUGGGACUGAGACACGGCCCAGACUCCUACGGGAGGCAGCAGUGGGGAAUAUUGGACAAUGGGCGAAAGCCUGAUCCAGCAAUGCCGCGUGAGUGAUGAAGGCCUUAGGGUUGUAAAGCUCUUUUACCCGGGAUGAUAAUGACAGUACCGGGAGAAUAAGCCCCGGCUAACUCCGUGCCAGCAGCCGCGGUAAUACGGAGGGGGUUAGCGUUGUUCGGAAUUACUGGGCGUAAAGCGCACGCAGGCGGUUUGUUAAGCUAGAUGUGAAAGCCCCGGGCUCAACCUGGGAUGGUCAUUUAGAACUGGCAGACUAGAGUCUUGGAGAGGGGAGUGGAAUUCCAGGUGUAGCGGUGAAAUGCGUAGAUAUCUGGAGGAACAUCAGUGGCGAAGGCGACUCCCUGGCCAAAGACUGACGCUCAUGUGCGAAAGUGUGGGUAGCGAACAGGAUUAGAUACCCUGGUAGUCUACGCCGUAAACGAUGGUUACUAGCUGUCCGGCCUAAUUGAGGGCUGGGUGGUUAAGCGAAAGUGAUAAGUAACCCACCUGGGGAGUACGUUCGCAAGAAUGAAACUCAAAGGAAUUGACGGGGGCCCGCACAAG